Molecule: long non-coding RNA, 449 nt
Filed under: Homo sapiens (human)
Lineage: Eukaryota; Metazoa; Chordata; Mammalia; Primates; Hominidae
Description: HSALNT0318587
Source: RNAcentral
UCUUAAAAGUUUGAGAAGAAAAUAUGGUAAAUAACUAAGAGAAAUCUCUGGUCAAUACUCAACAAGUCCUUCAGUCCAACAAUAUUCCAUACAUGAAAUCCUGCCAAAAACCAGACUCAGCACCAAACACACGAGAUGAAACAUAAGAUGCAUAAACACAACCCUUGCCUUUGAAGAAAAUUUGCACUAAUGGCAGAGAUGGGUGCUGUAUGAGUGAGCUGUGGCUGCCAUAGCAAGACAUCAUAGAUUGGAUGGCUUAAACAACAGAAAUUUAUUUUUUCACAGUUCUGGAGGCCAGAAAUCCCCAAUAAAGGUACUGACUGAUUAGGUGAGGGCUUUAUUUCUGCUGACAGACAACCACCUUCUUGUUGAGUUUUUAUACGGUCUUUUCUCUGUGGCUCAUAGAGAGAGACAGAGAGAGCUCUGGUGUUUUUUCCUCUUCUUAUUAG